Long non-coding RNA from Ictalurus punctatus (channel catfish), 658 nucleotides. Lineage: Eukaryota; Metazoa; Chordata; Actinopteri; Siluriformes; Ictaluridae. The record is from Ensembl.
CUCUCAUUCUCAAUCGGACAUUGCCGUCAACAAGGCAGCUUUCAUUCCUGCCUUUGCAACCCACUCCAACCUCAGUGUGCUGGCUCUGACUGAGUCCUGGAUCCAUACUGAGAACACUGCCACACCCGCUGCCCUAGCCUCCAACUUCACAUUCUCCCAUACCUCACGUCCCAACAGACAAGUGGGUGGUACAGGUCAACUGGGGAAGUUCAUUGAUGAAUUUGACACGCUACUGUCCACCAUUCUGUACAAUGGAACUCCUCUUCUGGUCCUUGGUGACUUCGUUCAUCUAGACAAGCCACAUGCAGCUGACCUUUUUUUUGACCUCUUGCUCUCCUUUGCACAUUUGACCUCAAGCAGUUCACCACACCAGCAACCCACAAAGCCGGCAAACAGCUCGACCUCAUCCUCACACAACAACCUUCUGGACACCAGGCAGUCUAGCUUCAAGAGCAAUCACUCCAUGGAGACUGCUGUUUUCCAUCACUGAAGCCUUACGACUAGCAAGCGCAAGCUCUAGAUCAUCUGUCCUCAUCCUACUCGACCUUUCUGCUGCUUUCGACACUGUGAACCAUAAGAUCCUCCUGUCACCUCUCUCCAGCCUGUGCAUCACCAGAACGGUUCUGCACUGGGUAGAAUCCUACCUCUGACAGAUCAU